RNAcentral lists this long non-coding RNA (596 nucleotides) under Cercocebus atys (sooty mangabey). RNAcentral's name for it is "lncRNA (ENSCATG00000045412.1)". Lineage: Eukaryota; Metazoa; Chordata; Mammalia; Primates; Cercopithecidae. The record is from RNAcentral.
CCGUGUGAGAAUGAACUAAUACAGAGGACGAGGACACAGAAGCACAGAGAAGAAUCUCACACUCUUGGGACCAAGCUGAGCGAGAUCAGGUUUCCAGGCAUCCACAUGUGGUUCCUAUAAUGAAGACAGACGAUCUCCUUGAGUGGAAAGCAGUUUUCCAUCACUGGCAUCCCAGAAACAGUACCUGGGAUCUAUUAAAGCCUUAGUCCUCCAUGCUCUUGAGGUGCUGGGCACAGGGAGGAGAAAGCUGGGUGACCUCCAGAGGGAGAGGGGAGCCCGUGAGUGCCAUGUUGGGAUGGGAGAAGCAAAGCCUCAAGGACAAGAAGCUGAAGCAAGAGGGGCCAUGCUCUGCCCAUGCACCAGGGGAGGGGCAGAAAGAAGAAAGCUGCGGAGCCUGCAGGAGGCUGGCUGAUUUCUCACCAGCUGAGCCCUCCCCAGGCAGCUUUGUCCAGGCCUUCAUGGCUGUGGAGAAUAGAUCCUGCAUGCCUUUUGUCCUCUGCGAGCAUAUGCCACUCCGGUAUGGCCACCAAAUGUUCUUCUCCGUGGUGCAUGCCAGGGAGCUUUGCACACAGCAUUCCAUAGAUAGCGGGGACUAG